Molecule: non-coding RNA, 93 nt
Organism: Triticum urartu
Lineage: Eukaryota; Viridiplantae; Streptophyta; Magnoliopsida; Poales; Poaceae
Source: Rfam
AGUGGAGGAUUCCAAAGGGAUCGCAUUGAUCCAUCUCUCCGUAACCGGCGCUCAAGAUCGAUGGAUCAGUGCAAUCCCUCUGGAAUUCUCCGC